Molecule: long non-coding RNA, 1054 nt
Filed under: Cyanistes caeruleus (blue tit)
Lineage: Eukaryota; Metazoa; Chordata; Aves; Passeriformes; Paridae
Description: lncRNA (ENSCCEG00000015735.1)
Source: RNAcentral
GUAAAUGGAGAAUUUGGGGAAUUGUGUGAACACCACACAGCAGGAUGGAUAAGAACCAUGCUGAAGGGAAAAAGCCUCUUUAAUUUAGUGCCAUGGACCGAAUUUUGACGUUUGUCUCUGCGUGGCAUGACUGGAGUGAGAAAGGAAGGCUCUGUUCUAGCACAGCCUGCCCUAAUUCCCCAGGUCAUUAGGAAAUGGAGGCAGCAGAUUGCCAGGAGUUUUGUGCAGCACAGAAAUGGAUCAGAGGGACACAGCUGUGUCCUGGACUGUCAAGGAGCUGUUCUGAGCUGCCUGUCACCCUGUCCUCCUCCUGCAAGCCACAGCUGGUGGCCACCUCGCCGUCCCCAGCCUUCUGCCCAGGCUCCUCAGACCCUCCUGCCCCAGAACUGUCCUGCAGCUGCCAGGAUUUGCAGGGGUCAGGUUUGUCAUGGAGGUCACCAUCCUUUUCUGUUCCAGCGUUAUUUUCUUUUCCAUCACGGAAUCUUCCAGCGUGGAAAAAGCAGGGUAAAAAUAGACCUUCCCUGCCCUGCAAAAGCAUGUUUGCAUCCUUCUGUCCUUGUUCAAAAUGUCUAAUGAUUUAUCUCAUCUUUCUGUCAGCUCCUGAGUUGUUCCCUCUGCCUCCAGAGCUUCCUGAUAAUCUGCCUCUGUCCCAGCUGCAUUUUUUGGUCUCUCUUCUUACCACCCUUCUCUUCCUGAAGACAAAAAGAAUCUGUGCCCUUGAAACCCAGCCAUGUCCUGUAGGGUUUAUUUAAACUCUGAAAAUGGUCAUCCUUGGAAUGGUCUUUUCAGGAACUCUCUGUUGUGAUUGAUUGAUAAGUGUGCUGUGAAAUUUCAGCUGAAAUAGCUGCUUGCCUUGAUAAAGGAGAGUUUUAAAUGUAUAACGAGGAUGUACAUUGUAAUCUGCUAAAAAUGUUAUUGUGACCUGCUGUUCCAAGAUUAUAAAUGAAAUACUUCUGCAGAAUCUGUUCCUUCCUUGCUUGGUUUUCUACCCACCAGUGCACUUUUGGUGCCUUGUAUAGGAGGUCUAAAAUAAAAUAAAAUAAAAUUCAUUGCA